RNAcentral lists this transfer RNA (58 nucleotides) under Salmo salar (Atlantic salmon). It matches the Rfam family "tRNA", at positions 8 to 63 of the family's 71-position model. Rfam says of the family: Transfer RNA (tRNA) molecules are approximately 80 nucleotides in length. Their secondary structure includes four short double-helical elements and three loops (D, anti-codon, and T loops). Further hydrogen bonds mediate the characteristic L-shaped molecular structure. tRNAs have two regions of fundamental functional importance: the anti-codon, which is responsible for specific mRNA codon recognition, and the 3' end, to which the tRNAs corresponding amino acid is attached (by aminoacyl-tRNA synthetases). tRNAs cope with the degeneracy of the genetic code in two manners: having more than one tRNA (with a specific anti-codon) for a particular amino acid; and 'wobble' base-pairing, i.e. permitting non-standard base-pairing at the 3rd anti-codon position. The record is from Rfam by way of RNAcentral. Lineage: Eukaryota; Metazoa; Chordata; Actinopteri; Salmoniformes; Salmonidae.
UGGCUCAGUUGGUAGAGCAUGGUGUUUGCAACGCCAGCGUAGUGGGUUCGAUUCCCAC